AUACGUAGGGGGCAAGCGUUGUCCGGAUUUACUGGGUGUAAAGGGUGCUCAGGCGGAUUUGUAAGUCAGAGGUGAAAUCCCGAAGCUUAACUUCGGAACUGCCUUUGAUACUGCAAGUCUAGAGUUCAAAAGAGGAUGAUGGAAUAUCUGGUGUAGCAGUGAAAUGCGUAGAUAUCAGAUAGAACACCAAUGGCGAAGGCAGUCAUCUGGUUUGAAACUGACGCUAAAGCACGAAAGUAUGGGGAGCAAACAGGAUUAGAUACCCUGGUAGUCCAUACCCUAAACGAUGAGUACUAGACGUUGGGUCUUUUAAGAUUCAGUGUCUGAGCUAACGCAUUAAGUACUCCACCUGGGAAGUACGAUCGCAAGGUUGAA
RNAcentral lists this ribosomal RNA (375 nucleotides) under uncultured bacterium. RNAcentral's name for it is "bacterial SSU rRNA". It matches the Rfam family "Bacterial small subunit ribosomal RNA", at positions 523 to 898 of the family's 1533-position model. The record is from RNAcentral.